UACGUAGGGUGCAAGCGUGGCCCGGAUUUAUUGGGCGUAAAGGGUGCGUAGGCGGCGGAGUAAGUUGGGUGUGAAAUCCCGGGGCUCAACCUCGGAAUUGCAUUCAAUACUGCUUCGCUCGAGUACUGGAGAGGAGGCUGGAAUUUACGGUGUAGCAGUGAAAUGCGUAGAUAUCGUAAGGAAGGCCGGUGGCGAAAGCGAGCCUCUGGACAGUUACUGACGCUGAUGCACGAAGGCCAGGGGAGCAAACAGG
RNAcentral lists this ribosomal RNA (253 nucleotides) under uncultured bacterium. RNAcentral's name for it is "partial 16S ribosomal RNA". It matches the Rfam family "Bacterial small subunit ribosomal RNA", at positions 524 to 776 of the family's 1533-position model. The record is from RNAcentral.